Molecule: ribosomal RNA, 253 nt
Filed under: uncultured bacterium
Lineage: Bacteria
Description: partial 16S ribosomal RNA
Rfam family: Bacterial small subunit ribosomal RNA
Source: RNAcentral
UACGGGGGGGGCAAGCGUUGUUCGGAAUUACUGGGCGUAAAGGGCUCGUAGGUGGCCAACUAAGUCAGACGUGAAAUCCCUCGGCUUAACCGGGGAACUGCGUCUGAUACUGGAUGGCUUGAGUUUGGGAGAGGGACGCGGAAUUCCUGGUGUAGCGGUGAAAUGCGUAGAUAUCAGGAGGAACACCUGCGGUGUAGACGGCUUACUGGACCAUCACUGACGCUGAGGCACGAAAGCGUGGGUAGCAAACAGG